GACAGAGGUGCCGAGCGUUAGGCGGAAUCACUGGGCUUAAAGCGUGUGUAGGCGGACCGUUAAGUACCUUGUGAAAUCCCACGGCUCAACCGUGGAACGGCUGGGUAUACUGGCGGUCUUGGGCCACCUAGGGGUCAUCGGAACAGGCGGUGGAGCGGUGAAAUGCGUAGAUAUCGCCUAGAACGCCGACGGUGAAAACAGAUGACUGGGGGUGUGCCGACGCUGAGACACGAAAGCCAGGGGAGCGAACGGG
Molecule: ribosomal RNA, 253 nt
Filed under: uncultured bacterium
Lineage: Bacteria
Description: partial 16S ribosomal RNA
Rfam family: Bacterial small subunit ribosomal RNA
Source: RNAcentral